RNAcentral lists this ribosomal RNA (374 nucleotides) under uncultured organism. Its description in RNAcentral is "partial 16S ribosomal RNA". It matches the Rfam family "Bacterial small subunit ribosomal RNA", at positions 527 to 896 of the family's 1533-position model. The record is from RNAcentral.
GUAGGUGGCAAGCGUUGUCCGGAAUUAUUGGGCGUAAAGCGCCCGCAGGCGGUUCUUUAAGUCUGAUGUGAAAGCCCACGGCUCAACCGUGGAGGGUCAUUGGAAACUGGAGAACUUGAGUACAGAAGAGGAAAGCGGAAUUCCACGUGUAGCGGUGAAAUGCGUAGAGAUGUGGAGGAACACCAGUGGCGAAGGCGGCUUUCUGGUCUGUAACUGACGCUGAGGCGCGAAAGCGUGGGGAGCAAACAGGGAUUAGAUACCCUGGUAGUCCACGCCGUAAACGAUGAGUGCUAAGUGUUAGGGGGGUUUCCGCCCCCUUAGUGCUGCAGCUAACGCAUUAAGCACUCCGCCUGGGGAGUACGGCCGCAAGGCUG